Molecule: transfer RNA, 68 nt
Filed under: Stolotermes victoriensis
Lineage: Eukaryota; Metazoa; Arthropoda; Insecta; Blattodea; Termopsidae
Description: tRNA-Tyr
Rfam family: tRNA
About the family: Transfer RNA (tRNA) molecules are approximately 80 nucleotides in length. Their secondary structure includes four short double-helical elements and three loops (D, anti-codon, and T loops). Further hydrogen bonds mediate the characteristic L-shaped molecular structure. tRNAs have two regions of fundamental functional importance: the anti-codon, which is responsible for specific mRNA codon recognition, and the 3' end, to which the tRNAs corresponding amino acid is attached (by aminoacyl-tRNA synthetases). tRNAs cope with the degeneracy of the genetic code in two manners: having more than one tRNA (with a specific anti-codon) for a particular amino acid; and 'wobble' base-pairing, i.e. permitting non-standard base-pairing at the 3rd anti-codon position.
Source: RNAcentral
AGUAGAAUGGCUGAGGUGUAGGUGAUAGAUUGUAAAUCUAUUAAGGGAUAUUGGAUGUCCUUCUGCUA